RNAcentral lists this ribosomal RNA (664 nucleotides) under uncultured Bacteroidota bacterium. RNAcentral's name for it is "bacterial SSU rRNA". It matches the Rfam family "Bacterial small subunit ribosomal RNA", at positions 46 to 703 of the family's 1533-position model. The record is from RNAcentral. Lineage: Bacteria; Pseudomonadati; Bacteroidota.
GCUUAACACAUGCAAGUCGAGGGGCAGCACAAGGCAGCAAUGCUGAGGUGGCGACCGGCGCACGGGUGCGUAACGCGUAUCCAACCUUCCCGUUACUCUUGGAUAGCCUUCCGAAAGGGAGAUUAAUACAAGAUGGUGUUGAAAUUCCGCAUGUUAUUUCAACUAAAGAUUUAUCGGUAACGGAUGGGGAUGCGUGACAUUAGAUAGUAGGCGGGGUAACGGCCCACCUAGUCUACGAUGUCUAGGGGUUCUGAGAGGAAGGUCCCCCACACUGGAACUGAGACACGGUCCAGACUCCUACGGGAGGCAGCAGUGAGGAAUAUUGGUCAAUGGCCGGAAGGCUGAACCAGCCAAGUAGCGUGAAGGAUGAAGGUUCUAUGGAUUGUAAACUUCUUUUAUGAGGGAAUAAAACCUCCCACGUGUGGGAGCUUGUAUGUACCUUAUGAAUAAGCAUCGGCUAACUCCGUGCCAGCAGCCGCGGUAAUACGGAGGAUGCGAGCGUUAUCCGGAUUUAUUGGGUUUAAAGGGAGCGUAGACGGGAGAUUAAGUCAGCUGUGAAAGUUUGAGGCCCAACCUUAAAAUUGCAGUUGAUACUGGUUUCCUUGAGUGCGGUUGAGGUGUAUGGAAUUCGUGGUGUAGCGGUGAAAUGCUUAGAUAUCACGAA